This 4284-nucleotide long non-coding RNA is filed under the name Linum usitatissimum (flax). RNAcentral's name for it is "long non-coding RNA (LUSI_LNC002452)". Lineage: Eukaryota; Viridiplantae; Streptophyta; Magnoliopsida; Malpighiales; Linaceae. The record is from RNAcentral.
GAAGUAUCAUUUCAAGAGUAAAUCUGAAAAUAUAUCCUAAGUCAAACCAUCAUGGCAAAGACCAACAACCUCAAAUUCCUCCUCCUCCUUCUCUUGGUGGCACUCCUUGUCACAACUUUCAGUAAGUUCAUCUUCAACUUCUUGAGAAAAAGUAUACUACUUUUUAAAAUAGCGUAUGAGGGUUCUAAUAGGUUUUAUAGUCAGAAGCUCUCAGAAGAGCUGAUGUUUGCACAUGUUCACGCGGUAAGUCAUGUGUGGGGUUAUUGAAACGGAGACCUCACGAUUUUUUAAGGCUCUGAUACCAUGUCAAAAACCGUUACAUUUCAAUAAUUCGAGAGCUUAAAUUGGUUUUAUAGUAUCAUUAAUUAAGAAAAACUUUUUUUUUAACAACGUGCGUUAUUAAAAUGCAAGAAGAAGAAGAAUUGGAGCGUGAUUCCAAAACAGAGGAAGCUGGUCAAGACAAUGAUGCUUGAAGCUAUUCUCUCCUUCAUCAUCUCCUCUCGUACCGGAGCUCCAUCCGGUUCGGGUCGAUUUCGUACUGGAUCCGGUAAGGUCAGGGAUGUGAAAUUGUGUGAUUGAUUUGCUUAGCAAUGUAAUGUUUUCCUCAUCUGAUCUCUGUUUCUCAGAGUUCGUUAGUUUCAGAAAAGAAAACUCGAUUACAGACACUGUAGCUGUAAUUUGUGUAUUUGAGAACAAGGGUUUUUUUCUUUGAUAUGUAGUUAAUGAAACCCAUAUUUCAUUUCUCUUCUGUAAGUUACGUUUGUGUAAAAAGAAAGUGAAUUUGUCAAGUCUCUGUUUUUGUUCCUGACGAAAACAGAGUAAUGAUGAAUAUGGUCGUCGGACGGAGAAAGCAAAAGGCCGAUUGAUUAGUCUGCUACUGACUACUGAGAGUGAAAGUGCGAUCCUCGUCGGAGUCUCAAUCAGACGCGCUUUUGAGUUUUGAAUGAAUUUAUUGAAGUGGUGGGUUCGUUCUUACAGAGGCCUUGAUAGUGAGUGACCGGAGGAUGGUUGUUUCCCCGGAAAAUCAAACUUUCUACUUGGUUCGAUGAUCGGGAAAUCGAAAUUCAAUUACAACGAAAAUGCUUUUUUAGAUCACUUCUUUCAUAUUUGUUGGUCAUGUUGAUAUGUCUUUUGAUCAAAAUUAAGUGAUGUCAAUCGAUUAAUUAAUUAAAUCGAAUCGAUUAAUCGUAAUAGACUUGGAAAACGGCCUAACUGACAAUCCUUUUCACCUCUAUAGAUUUUAUAUGGUAAUGAUAAAUCUCAAUGCAAAAAAUCAUUUGAAUCUCAAUUUAGUUUUCAUCUUCCACCUUAAUUCAACUUUUUUUUUACUAAUUUUAAUGAAAUUGGAAGAAAAUGAUUUUCAUGGUCAAACGAAACGGUAUCGUAUUAUAUAUUCCAUGGGGUUUGUAGGUGGGGCUCUAAUUAAGUUCAUCGCAAAUUCGCAACAAGCCAAUCUUGAGUCAAAAUGGUAUAUUUGGACCAUAUAAUAUUGUAGCAUAUAUAUGAAUUCUUACCUACGAAGUAAAAAAGUAGUUAAGAAAAAUGCUAACAUCAUUAUCAUCAUUCAUCACUCCAAUUUGACUUUACGUUUUUAAAUUUUUUUUGACAACUAACAUUAUAACCUGAGAGUUGGACGGAUCAUACAAAUGUGUAUAGGUUUGUAAAACCCCAUAUCCGCCCCUGAUCAUUACAUUAGAUGCAUCAUCCGAUUUAUAUCAGGAACUUGCACAAAGCUAAACCAUAUGACAAUACUUAAAUACUUGUAACAGCUAGUGAGUAGAAUAUUUUUCAAUUAUUGUACAUCAAAAUCAGAAUUGUAUAUUUAGCUAAUAUUGUUCAGACACAAAACCUCUUAUUUUUGGCUAAUAAAACACAAAGAGAGACAACAAUAUAAUUUACUGCAAAUAGUUUUUGUCAAACUGAUAUUCAAAUCAAAGAGUUUUGACAGUUCCUCGAACCAUUACUCUCCAAAACUCAACUCUCUGUAUCACCAAAUUAAACAAAAAAAAAAAUAAAUAUCCUGCAAUUCCAUGAAUAUACGUAAAGAACGGCAACCUAAGGACAAAACACAUGCAAGCUAGUUUGAAGCUUUUACGUAACCCAAAAGAAGAGUCCGAGCCCUUGCUUUUUGGAUCCCAUCCAAGGAGCAAUCUGAGCCUUUGGAUCUCUUUAUAUGAUUUAAGAGUCAAGAUUAAUCAAGGGCAAUAUGGUUAUAUUAGUUUAAAUAUUUUUGUUGGACUAGAUCCAUCGAUCUCUGAUCGUCGGUCGGACCAUUGUCUCCGCUCCGGUCACCAGAAAGUUUCCCGAUCAAUUUCACAGCGAUUUUGUCCUCUGUUGAAGAAAUUUUUUCACCCACGUGAUCACCGUCGUCGGCUCUACGUUUCUGGAAUUUUUUUUUACAACUAACUUUAUACUUGGUGUAGAGAGUUGGACGGAUCAUACAAAUGUGUAUAGGUUUGUAAAACUCAUACCGAAGUGUAUACACAUCCGUGUAGCUUUUGUACGAAGUGUAAUACUAAGUAUUGUACUAAGUAUAGUACUUUUUUUUUUCGAAAUAUAGUACUUAUAAGUAUAAUAUUUAUAGGUAAUAUACACAUCACUGAACAGAAAGCAAUUAAAAAAAAAAUCAAAGUAUUAUUCGGGCGAUCACUCUCGCAUGGAGGAAAAGAGACUCUCAUGAAAGUGGUCCUACAAAGUCUCCCUACUUAUGUGAUGUCGUGCUUUCAGCUCUCCAAGAAGUUGCUCAAAUGUCUCUUUUCUGGGGAGGAACAAUGAACAAGGAACUUUGGAAGUGGCUUUGGAAGCUUCUCUUCUUCUGUAGUACAUUUUUCUAGCUGGCGCCUAAUAAACAAUGCGUUGGCUAUCAAGAAGAACGUUUUUCAAAGGAUGUGUGGCCCAUUCCCUACCUGUUAGAUGUGUGACCAACAAAUUAAAGACAUAACCCACUGUUUCUUCAACUGUGAUCAUGCUAAACAAGUUUAAACCUCUUCCAUGAACGAUCUCGUCUUCCUGAUUAUAAUCUGACCAUCUCUAACAAAAGCUGAAUUGUAAUGAACAAAUACCGCUAUAUAUGUACACUCCAAUAACCCGUCAUAACAUCUCACAAAUUUAUUUUUUCUCAAUAGUAGAUCAACCUAGCCCACUUUUAUACUACAUAGAGAAAACAACAACGUACGUACAGACAAAAAAAAGCAUGGCUGGAGAGUUUGAAAUUUGAACGUAUAAUCCUUGCAAUUAAUAUAUAUAAUUAAUUGAAGUGAUGAAUACUAGGGGUACUUCUUUAGAGAUAUAGCAUAUGUUUUUUAGAUAUCUUGUUAUUUUUUAGAUAACGUAACGGUCCAAAUACCAUAUGAAAGCAACAAAAAAAAAUUUGGAUAGAAUUUGCAUUGUUCAAAAUAGCUAGGUUAGUAAUUGUCGCCAAUUUCUUGCUAUAAAAAGGCAUGCAAUUGGGUUCUUCAAGUUCAUCACACACAACGGGAAGUAUCAUUUCAAGAGUAAAUCUGAAAAUAUAUCCUAAGUCAAACCAUCAUGGCAAAGACCAACAACCUCAAAUUCCUCCUCCUCCUUCUCUUGGUGGCACUCCUUGUCACAACUUUCAGUAAGUUCAUCUUCAACUUCUUGAGAAAAAGUAUACUACUUUUUAAAAUAGCGUAUGAGGGUUCUAAUAGGUUUUAUAGUCAGAAGCUCUCAGAAGAGCUGAUGUUUGCACAUGUUCACGCGGUAAGUCAUGUGUGGGGUUAUUGAAACGGAGACCUCACGAUUUUUUAAGGCUCUGAUACCAUGUCAAAAACCGUUACAUUUCAAUAAUUCGAGAGCUUAAAUUGGUUUUAUAGUAUCAUUAAUUAAGAAAAACUUUUUUUUUAACAACGUGCGUUAUUAAAAUGCAAUGUGUGAGCAGCUUCAGGUGCUGGUGAUCCCGAUUCGACGAGCUGCAGUGAUGGAUUAGAGCCUUAUACAGUAAAACCUCAUGAUACAUGCUAUGAUUUGGUUGACGGAGAUGCCGCCAAGCUUGCUGCUCUAACGAAGAACAAUCCUAAUAAGUGCGGCACCUCGUUGCAAGCCGGCGAUACUCUGUGCAUGCCGAAGGGAAACUAAGAAAGAACACAUCAAUGAAUCUGAACCGUACGAUUAAGGAAUAAUUCACUAUCUUAUAUCUUAUGUUAUGUUUGUAAUACAAAAUGCUAUGAAUAAGUAAUGGUUUUUUUUCUUUUACCAUCUGUUUUUGUUGUCGUUGAAAAACUACCGUACUAUCUGUUUUUUUUAUAAAUGAAACUUUUAUUAUAA